UCGCGACCCCAGGUCAGGCGGGACUA
RNAcentral lists this ribosomal RNA (26 nucleotides) under Stevia iltisiana. Its description in RNAcentral is "partial 26S rRNA". The record is from RNAcentral. Lineage: Eukaryota; Viridiplantae; Streptophyta; Magnoliopsida; Asterales; Asteraceae.